GAUGAAGAACGUAGCGAAAUGCGAUAAGUAACGUGAAUUGCAGAAUUCAGUGAAUCAUCGAAUCUUUGAACGCACAUUGCGCCCGCCAGUAUUCUGGCGGGCAUGCCUGUUCGAGCGUCAUUUCAACCCUCAGGCCCCCAGUGCCUGGUGUUGGGGAUCGGCAGCAGGGCGUCAAGCCCGCCGGCCCCGAAAUCUAGUGGCGGUCUCGCUGUAGUCCUCCUCUGCGUAGUAGCACAACCUCGCAGUUGGAACGCGGCGGUGGCCAUGCCGUUAAACACCCCACUUCUGAAAGUUGACCUCGGAUCAGGUAGGAAUACCCGCUGAACUUAAGCAUAUCAAUAAGCGGAGGA
RNAcentral lists this unclassified non-coding RNA (350 nucleotides) under soil metagenome. RNAcentral describes it as "partial contains 5.8S ribosomal RNA, internal transcribed spacer 2, and large subunit ribosomal RNA". The stretch from base 1 to 120 matches the Rfam family "5.8S ribosomal RNA", at positions 35 to 154 of the family's 154-position model. The record is from RNAcentral.